CUCCAGACUCCUACGGGAGGCAGCAGUGGGGGAUAUUGCACAAUGGGGGGAACCCUGAUGCAGCGACGCCGCGUGGGUGAAGAAGCGCCUCGGCGCGUAAAGCCCUGUCAGCAGGGAAGAAAAUGACGGUACCUGAAGAAGAAGCCCCGGCUAACUACGUGCCAGCAGCCGCGGUAAUACGUAGGGGGCAAGCGUUAUCCGGAUUUACUGGGUGUAAAGGGAGCGUAGACGGCUGUGCAAGUCUGAAGUGAAAGCCCAGGGCUCAACCCUGGGACUGCUUUGGAAACUGUGGAGCUAGAGUGCUGGAGAGGUAAGUGGAAUUCCUAGUGUAGCGGUGAAAUGCGUAGACAUCAGGAGGAACACCGGCGGCGAAGGCGGCCUGCUGGACCGCGACUGACGUUGAGGCUCGAAAGCGUGGGGAGCGAACAGGAUUAGAUACCCGUGUA
RNAcentral lists this ribosomal RNA (446 nucleotides) under uncultured bacterium. RNAcentral describes it as "bacterial SSU rRNA". It matches the Rfam family "Bacterial small subunit ribosomal RNA", at positions 329 to 792 of the family's 1533-position model. The record is from RNAcentral.